Molecule: RNA transcript, 18414 nt
Organism: Corvus hawaiiensis (hawaiian crow)
Lineage: Eukaryota; Metazoa; Chordata; Aves; Passeriformes; Corvidae
Gene: IRS1
Gene name: insulin receptor substrate 1
Exons: 7
Source: RefSeq, a predicted model, not a curated record
CUGGCCGGGAGCCCGGCGGCGGCUCCGGGGAUGGUCCACGCACUGGCGCCGUCACGUGUUGUUCUCCUUGGAGUGAGCCUGAGUCGCGGCGGCGGGCGGAGGGGGCUGGACUGGCGAGCGCGGCCCCCGCCGGCUGUUUUGGUGCGGGGCGCCGGGAAACUCCGAGGAGAAGCCGACGGAGAAGGAGCCGCCGCUGCGGUGCCCGCUCCCCCGGUGGGCUGGGGCACGGGAGGGGGCUGCGCCGCCGGCCGCUGAGGCGCUGCCGCCUGGAAUGAAGAGGAGGAGGAAGAGAGGAUGUUCCUUCGGCACUCGGGCUUGCCUCCCCUCCCGCCGCUGCCGGGCUGCGCCGCGUGUGGAAAUGGCACUUUCUCUGCCUAACGAGAUGGGACUGAAUGGGGUCGCCAGCCUCCUCCGCAUGCACAAGCGGGAACAGCAGCCUCGGCGCUGAUAUUUGGGGAAGGGGGAUUGUAUUGUGGGCGGCAUUUUUUUAAAAUUUGUUUUCUCUUUUUGGGGGGAAGGGCGAGAGAGGGGAAAGCAGCGUGUAUUUUUGGGUGCAAACCCCGGACUUUGCAAAACAAUCUCCGCCCCCGAGAGGAUAUUUAAUCUGCAACAGCGAUCGCUGCUCGCGGAGGCAAACUUGAGCCGGGGAAGGGGAGCAGGGAGCGGAGGAAAGGGACCCCCGCCCCGUUCCUGGCCCCGCCGGAGCCCGACCCCUGCGAGGGAAGAUGCGUUUCUCAUUCCCGGCGGCUGAUUUUGGGACGAGACUUUCGUCAGGACUGAUCGGGACUGGACUUUUUAAGGACGAGCUUACCCAUCUAAGCGCGAUUUGGGCAUAAACAGCAACACAAACUCUGAUUUGGUGCUGGAAGCUGCCUCUGCCACUGAACAGCUGCUCUCACCCUGCUUCUGUCCCUCCCCCGUCCCGUUCUCAAAAGAGGAUCCUGAGCUUUUUUUUUUUUUUUUUUAAUUGUUGUUGCAUGAAUUUUAUUUUAGGUGGUUGCCUUUCCCGGCUGGAUUGGCUGUUUUGGGGUCUUGCAGACUGCGAGCUGCAGUAACAGCUCCACCGCCUCUCAUCAUGGCCAGCCCCACGGAUAAUAACGAGGGCUUCUUCUCAGAUGUCAGAAAGGUGGGUUACUUGCGCAAACCCAAGAGCAUGCAUAAACGAUUUUUCGUGCUGAGGGCAGCCAGUGAGUCUGGACCUGCCCGGCUGGAGUAUUAUGAGAAUGAAAAGAAAUGGAGACACAAGUCAGGGGCCCCCAAGCGCUCCAUCCCACUAGAAAGCUGCUUUAACAUCAACAAACGGGCUGACUCCAAGAACAAGCACCUGGUGGCCCUCUACACCAAGGACGAGCACUUUGCCAUUGCAGCUGACAGCGAACCUGAGCAGGAGAGCUGGUACCAAGCGCUACUGCAGUUGCACAACAGGGCCAAGGGCCACCACCACCUCCAUCACCAUCACCACCACCACCACAGCGAUGUCACUUUUGGAGGCAGCAGCACAGGACUGGGGGAAGCAGGUGAGGAGAGCUAUGGUGAGGUAGCCCCUGGUCCAGCUUUUAAGGAAGUUUGGCAAGUAAUUCUGAAGCCUAAGGGCCUAGGCCAGACAAAGAACCUGAUUGGCAUCUACCGCCUGUGCCUGACUAACAAGACCAUCAGCUUUGUAAAGCUGAAUUCAGAUGCGGCUGCUGUGGUGCUGCAGCUGCUCAAUAUCCGCCGCUGUGGUCACUCUGAGAACUUCUUCUUCAUUGAGGUGGGACGCUCAGCUGUCACCGGACCUGGUGAGUUCUGGAUGCAAGUGGAUGACUCAGUGGUGGCACAGAACAUGCAUGAAACUAUCCUGGAGGCCAUGCGAGCCAUGAGUGAGGAAUUCCGGCCCCGCAGCAAGAGCCAGUCCUCCUCAAACUGUUCCAACCCAAUCUCUGUGCCCCUUCGCAGCAGGCACCAUGUCAGCAACCCUCCCCCGAGCCAAGUGGGGCUCAGUCGGCGGUCCAGGACCGAGAGUGUCACGGCCACUUCUCCUGCCGGUGGUGGAGGUACAGGUGGCAAACCCAGCUCUUUCCGGGUUCGAGCAUCGAGUGAUGGGGAAGGCACAAUGUCAAGACCUGCCUCUGUGGAUGGUAGCCCAGUUAGUCCCAGUGCUAACCGGACUCAUUCACACAGACACCGUGGCAACUCCAGGCUCCAUCCUCCACUCAACCACAGCCGGUCCAUCCCAAUGCCUUCCUCACGCUGCUCUCCUUCAGCCACCAGUCCAGUCAGCCUGUCAUCCAGCAGCACCAGUGGCCAUGGCUCCACCUCAGACUGCCUGUUUCCACGAAGGUCUAGUGCUUCAGUUUCUGGCUCCCCUAGUGAUGGUGGAUUUAUUUCUUCUGAUGAGUAUGGUUCUAGCCCAUGUGACUUUCGCAGCUCUUUUCGCAGUGUAACCCCUGAUUCAUUGGGACACACCCCCCCUGCCCGAGGUGAUGAAGACCUCAACUACAUCUGCAUGGGAGGGAAGGCCACCUCCUCUUGCUGCAGCCUAGCAGCACCCAACGGCCACUUCAUCCCACGAACCUGCCACCCUCAGCAGCAACCCCGCUAUCCUAGUACACCCUGCUGUCCUCGAGGUGGUAGUGAGGAGGUUGCCGACUUGGAGAAGGCAUUCAGGAAGCGAACUCACUCUGCAGGCACUUCGCCUACCAUCUCCCACCAGAAGACACCCUCGCAGUCUUCUGUGGCUUCCAUUGAGGAGUACACGGAGAUGCUGCCUUCUUACCCCUGUGGCAGCAGCAGGCUGCCCUCCUACCGCCACUCAGCCUUUGUGCCCACUCACUCCUACCCAGAGGAGUGCCUGGAGAUGCACCCCAUGGACAGUGGCCAUCAUCGGACCAACCCCACCCCGCACACGGAUGAUGGCUACAUGCCCAUGUCACCUGGUGUAGCCCCUAUGCCCAGUGGGGGGGGGGGGCCCAAGGGUGGUGACUAUAUGCCCAUGAGUCCUAAGAGUGUGUCGGCCCCACAGCAGAUCAUCAACCCUGGCAGGGGUGGUCGCCACCCUCCAGCCACAGUGGACUCUAAUGGCUACAUGAUGAUGUCCCCCAGUGGCAGCUACUCCCCGGACAACAGCUCUGCGGGCUACGGCAAGAUCUGGACAAAUGGUUCUGGCCACCACCCAAAACUCUCAGUGGAGAGCAACGAGGGGAAGCUCCCCUGCGGUGGCAGCGACUAUAUCAACAUGUCCCCAGCCAGCGGCUCCACCACCAGCACUCCGCCCGACUGCUACUUCGGGGCUGCGGGGCAGCCGGGGGUUGAGGAGGCGGUCACCGCAGCGCACCACAAACCCAUCUACUCUUACUUCUCGCUGCCACGCUCCUUCAAGCACGUGCACCGGCGGGGCGGCAGCAGGCCGGCGGGGGCAGCCGAGCAGGGCAGCCCUCAGCCCCGCAUCGCACUCGGCUCCAGCCGCCUCCUUUACGCGACCGAGGACUCGUCCUCCUCCACCAGCAGCGACAGCCUGGGCGGCGGCGGCGGCCCCGAGGGCGGCCCCCCGCCUCAAGCGCAGACCCCGCGCAAGGUGGACACGGCCGUGCAGACCAAGGGCCGCCUGGCGCGCCCCACGCGGCUGUCGCUGGGCGGCCCCAAGGCCAGCACCCUGCCACGGGCCCGGGAGCAGCCCCCCGUGCUGCUGCCCCCGGAGCCCAAGAGCCCCGGCGAGUACGUGAACAUCGAGUUCAUCGCCGGCGAGAAACCGCCCUUCCCCUCGGCUGCCCUGAACAUGGCCCUGCCGCCGCCGGGCAGCGAGGCCGCCGAGGAGUACAUGAACAUGGAGCCGGGCCCGCCGCGGGCCCCCUGCCCGCCUGGCUUCGCUACCGCGCGGGCGGCCCGGCCUGGCCGGGACUACGUGGCGAUGCAGCGGGGGGGUGCCGCGGCCGGCGGGGGCUCCUGCUCGGACUGCGCCGACAGUCCGUCCCCCGGCUCGCCCGCCCGCCUGCUCGGCUACGCCGAGGUGCGGGGGGGCCGCGCCGGCCCCGAAAAGCCCCCGCCGGCGGCCGCCACCGCGGCGUCCCCGGAGCUGCCGCGGCCGCCGGCCGAGCUGGCGGCGGCGCCGCCGCGCUCCUCCUCCCUGCUGGGGGGCCUGGGCGCGGGUAGCGCCUUCACCCGCGUCAGCCUCAGCCCCGGCCGCAACCAGAGUGCCAAGGUGAUCCGCGCCGAUCCGCAGGGCGGCCGGCGGCGGCACAGCUCCGAGACCUUCUCCUCCACGCCGAGCGCGGCCCGCGGAGCGGUGAGCGGGCUCGGGGCACCCUUCCCCUGCGGCGGCGCGGGGGGCGCCGAGGAGGUGAAGCGGCAUAGCUCGGCCUCCUUCGAGAACGUGUGGCUGCGGCCUGGCGCGGGGGAGGCGGCCUCCCGCCGGGAGCCGGGGGCCGCGCCCGCCCUGGAGAACGGGCUCAACUACAUCGACCUGGACUUGGUGAGGGACUGCGGCCACCGCCGCCAUCACCACCCGCACGGCCCCGCCGAGGCGAAGCAGCCGCUGCCGCCGAAGCCCCCGGGCCAGCAGCGCGGGAGCGGCCACUGCGGCGAGGACCUGAGCGCGUACGCCAGCAUCAGCUUCCAGAAGCGGGAGGAGAUGUAGGAGCCGGCCGUCCGCCGGGGAAGCUUACUAUCAGCCAUGGGAAUUUACAAGUUUUCCAACGAGACUGAAGAAAUCCAGGAAACCACAAUGACAGAUCCACUUGAAACAACCAUUUCAUGUCCUUUGCUACAUGUUGAGCACAGCCCAGACCUUUGAGAAUUUUCUAUAUACUAAGAUGAGGAAAAAGAAUGAUCCUAAUGGGUCUUUCAGAGAUUCUGUUGUUGGAUACUUUUCUGCUUUCACACAGGCUUGAUUCUGACAUGUCUGUUGACUUCAGUAAAGGUGUGAUUGUGGAAGAGCUCAGUGCUGAUCUGCAGCCUCAAGUUAUGGAAGCCCAGUGGGAAGAGAGAAAGACUUAAAUGGAAGGCCCUCUGAAACCAGCCCUGCUGGGAGUCACUUGUACUGCUGCUGCUGUCCAGUGUGGCAACCAAGCAUGAGACCAUCCUUUUGGGCUGUGAUCAGGAGGUAUUAUUUUCUGUCCUGAGACCUGAACAGGCAGAUCUCAUCACCCCACUGUAUUUUGAAGCUGCUAUUUCUGUUGUCAGACAAGCCUCUACACUCUGUGAAUCUAUCAUGAAGAGAGGCCUUACCCCAUUCAUUGUCUUAGGAAACAGUCCUGCUGGCUUCAGAAACAUCAAAAUAAAGGCCUCCAGUGACAGCCGCUGUUUGAUAAAGGACACAUAUUGGCAAAAUGGACCUUUUGACUUGCUCCAGAAUGGCCAUUCUUAUCGUUCUAUGCAAAAAACCACACCAAACCAAAACAACCCUACAAAAAAGCCUCAAUCAAACAGUCAUCCAAAAUACUAAAUAACAAGAAACAAUUCUGUUACUAAGAAAUGGUUCUCAGAUCAAAAUACUGAAAAUCAACAAAAAGGAAAAAAUAAGUUUUGUGAAAGUAACUUGGCUUCAUUUUCUGGAGUUCUUAGCUAGAACAUUUCCAUUGAUAGAGUUGCUAAGUGCAUUCUAUUUGCAAAUAUAAACACUUGAUUUUGAUCAGCAAAAAUGCAUCAGCACACUUGAACAGUGUCAAUGAUGAUAUAAUUACACUCACAAUUUCCUCUCUGUAAUGAUUUUUAAAUGUCAGCAGUCAUUUUUUGUCUAAUUGUAGCCUGCAUGUCAGCACUUCCUCUUAAAACAGCAUGUUCCUCUCUGCUGGAAUUUCACACCUCUCCACUCACUCACUCACUUCACCAGUGAAGAUAAUGAAGAUGAUAAAGGGCUCCAGGAUAUUUUCACUACUGUACUGCUUUACUAUUUAACAUCAAGCAGGCAGAAUGAGAACUUUUUUUUAAAAAAAACAGUAGAGAGUUUGAUCAGUUAGACUAUAAAUAAUUAUUUGAUUUUAAUGAACAAAUCAAAAAGCAGUUUUCAUUUCUCAGACCCCCUGCUGGUGCUUUACUAAUAACCUGUUUAAAAGCUGGGGGCUGUGAUAAAAAUAUUCCCACGCAUCAAGACCUAAACUUACUCACUGGAGGAGAAGGCUGACCGUGCAGUGCCAGCCCAUCUCUUGAUCACUUCAGUGUUUAGCACAGUGCAAAGCAGGUGACACUUGCUCUGCAAAGGCUGCCUGGUUGGAGAUGUUAUUGCUACCAUCUGUUGCUAUGACCUAGAAAGUGACUUUCCAAAUGCUAUUUUGCACUGCUCCAGGCCACCAGAGCCCAAAGCAUAACAAAUAGGUGCACCUCAGGGCUCUCUUCCUCCUUCCACAGACUACAUCAUCAAGUGUAUGGAAGUGAACCACUUGUGCAAUGAACUGGAAGCUCUGCACUGAGGUUAGAACGAACAUUUUCCACUCAUCUGAACAAACUCUGGAAUUGGAAACAGGGGACAAGGAGGCCUCCUUCAAUCCAAUUUGCUUGUAACUCAUCUCCAACUCUCUGAUGCUGCUUACCUGUAGGGUUUAGGAGAUAAAGCUUAUCAUUUACUGGCCCAUUUAAUAUCAAAACAGGUGAAAAGCCAGAAAGAAUUCACACUGUGAAGUCAAAUAAUGAAAUAAGGUUGAGAUGUCUGAUAAAAAAAGAAUACAAUUGAGUAUCUCUAAUCACAAAUACACAUGCACAAAAACAUAUCAAUUAGUUAUUUGUCUGAAUAUGUCUCCAAAAUAUAGAAGAAUGAAAAAUGAGUAAACUGAAUAAAGAGAGUGUAGGUGUGGGAGUGUGUUUUCUACAGCCCAUGAUAAAGUUCAUUAUGUUCCUCUGUCACAUUGCCAUCACAUGUGACUCCUAUAUACACAACUGUGUGUGUACACACAGGCAUGUGGGGAACAUGCACAGAUUCAUACAACACAAAUGCAGACCUGGGUCUCUUUGUGGUUUGUGCUGCAUUUUAUGUCCUACACUUUACUUUGAACUGCCUUUUUUGGCUAAAUUGGUGCCUCAGAAAUCUUCUGGAGCUCUUGGAAAGGGCAGGGUUUUUUAACAACUGCAUCCUAUGCACUUGUGAGAUGUGUGGAUGUGUAGAGACAAUCUGAAAAGAGAUGCUCCCGAGUCUGCUCAGUGCAGAGGGAUGUCCCCCAAGGAAACAAAACAAACCAAAGACACCAACAGCCAAGCAAUCAAGAGCAAAAGAAACCAGUCUUUGAGUACUCCCUGGAGAAUAUGAGUGCUCAAGACAGAGGACCUGCCAUGGGGAACACAGCAUAUGCAGGUCACUUGCCUGUGCCCACUCUCAAGAGAACAGGAAUCAAAAUCUAAAAAUACUAAAAGCUGAGAGACUAUGUAUAAGAUGAGCCUAGAACAUAGAGGCACUGCUCUAGAACUUUCCUUCUCCCCUACCCCUUCCCUUUUCCAGUUUUAUACCAAAGAGAAAAGUAGGCAAUAUUAAAAUUAGUUCUAAAUUGGGUGUAAUAUGCUCAUAGGCAAGUCAGCCAUACUGGAAUGUUACCACAAAGCAACAUAUGAGCGGGCUCCACUUCUGUGCACUGCACCACAGAAAUGAUCAACACCUCCUUGCCAAGUUGCUCAGCUAAAGGUAAAUUGAGAAAAGGGAAAGCAAGGUAAGAGCCAUUUCUGGAGUCUUCUGCAGAUCCAGGUGGCUUGCUGGAGGCUGUGAAAAGGAUUUUCUUAAGGCUAGUAAGAUGAAAAGGCACUUUGAUGAGAAGGUUCUUCUGUUUCCAUAGAAAAGCAAAAAGGACAUUUACCUCUCAGUUUGCCUCUUUGGGAUUACCUGCAGAAGACAAUCACACCCCACACAAAGCUGAGAUAAUGCUCAAUUACCCUGGCCAGGACUUUUUUUUUUUUUUUUUAGUUUACUACUGAGUCUCACUGUUCUGGUUUGAAACCCCAGCUUUUUAAUGAACUACCAAAGGCAAAUUACGUAUUACACCCACCCACCCCCAACAUUUGAACAUGAGGAAAUCUGCAAAGGGAAAGGGGAAAUGGAGUUUUCCGUUUCAGUGGACCAAAGGUAUGGGAUUAUUGACGUUACACAUAGGAAUUGAGUUUAUGUUUUACAUUACAGUCAAGCAUUCCUGUAGCUUCAAACAAACAAAUAAAGGCUGUUGAGAGAAUGACACGUUGUUCAUUUAGUGUCUAACAGUGGUACAUUCAGCCUGUAGGAGCACAGAAACAUUCCCUAUACUACCUGAACCAGGUUUAUAGCCUUUCAAAAUAAGACUGAUAUGGAUUGUGCUGUUUGGCUGAUUAUUCAUGACUCAGUCAUUGCAUACAGAGCAUUGGCUUCUGCUGCAUCUGAGGGUGCUUGACAUUUCUUAAAGUCAUGCCAAAAGUAUUUCAACUUGGCCUCUCAGAAAACGAUGCACAUUAAGCUAGAGACCACAUCUGAAAACUUCAGUUGAUUUGCUUCAUAUGAACUUGAAUUGAACCUCAACCUUACAAAACAAGGCAUAUUAAAGACAGCUGAAUAGUGACCAUGACAACACUGCUUCCAAAAAACCCAUAGGUAUAGUCAACAUUUAUACACAUAUACUGCGAGGGAUAAUACAUUCUUUUGUACGCUUAUUAAUACCAGUUCAUGCUGUGUGCAUAACUUUUCAUCAGCAAAACUGUACGUUAUGCAGGAGUUUCCAGAUACUAGUUUACCUUUAAUGUUUUUUGCUACUCUGAUAGGGCCCAUGCAAAAUGAAAUUAGUCAAAAUGUUCCAAGUUUUUGGCUUGGGUGCAAUAUGGUCUCAAAAUAUUGCCUCAAUUUUAAAAGCCUGUCUUGUGGUAAAAUCUGUGCUGCAACUAUAUGUUGCAUUCCACUAAGCCAUAACAUUAGUUAUAACAUCUUAAUUUCUUUUAUUUUUUAAUUGUGACAAAAAGAGUGACAUUCUUUUCAUUGCUGUAUUUUGGGAAGAUGAAUGCCAAUUUUUUGAAUAGAUUGUUUUGUUAAAUGAACCUUUAUUCCAUCUAGAUAUCUGCUAUUUUUCAUUCCUUGGACUAAAGGACGAUUCUUUAGUUUGGACUCUUGUCAGCACUGAUGUAAAGUGCUUUAUGCCUCAUUUUUAUAACCCAUUUUAUCCCAACUGCGGUGCAUUUUUAAUCCCCUUUUCACUACCUAAAUUGAGGAAUACGGCCUCAGUAUUGGAGAGGAAUAUGUUUAGUUUAUUUUGCAAUACCCUGCCAAGGGACAUUUUCCUAAAUGUGUAUUUUCUAAUCUUUAAUUAGUAUCACAAAUACUUUUGCAGCCUGCACAUUCUUCCAGUGCAAGGUUGUAUAGAGGAGUCACUGCAUUCUGCAUGUCCUGUGGGACUGUGUGAGGAGCUACAUGCUCCCCUUUCACACAGUGAACAAAAGCUAAAUUCUUGCCUUUUAUUUCUUUAUUUUCCUUAGGUCUGAAAUAUUAAAACUAUAGGUGCAGUCCUGAGGGCUGAAUACUGAUGCUCAGACCUUCUUGGGUGGUACCAGGGUAAGAGUUGAUCCAGGUCUAUGAUUCAUCUGCCAUCUCUUUUGCAAUUACAUCGCUUUUCUGACCUUUUAUAUAUUUACUUCAUAGCACAGAUACAGUGUUUACUACUUCUUUGGGGACAUAAUGAAUUGCAAACACAACGUCCUUUCCCCCAACAAGACUAAAGCAUAAAUAGCUCAGUCGCUAUCAACCAGGAGCACCACACAUAUGUACUUCCUUAUGUAUUUUUAUGUGCGGAUAUAUUUUCAUAGAUAUAUAAGAUGUGGAACACUGACAAUGUGCCAGCUUAGCCCAUUAAGGAGCUGGAUACAUGUCUUUGGCAUCAGCCACUUCUAUUACACAGCACACAGAAGCAAUAGCAAAGGCAGCCUUAGAGGGCAAAAAUCUCUACUCUUGUACUAUUAAUGCAUAUAAUUCCUAGCUCAUCUGUGACAACUUGUAUUAAAAUUUUGCUAACUAGAACUGCAAUCAUACCUUUUAAUCCACUCUAUGCUUUGGAAACGAGACCUGGCGUGCAUCUGGGCUGUCCUCAAUAGCUGUGCCUGCAGUCUCAGAACAGUGAUUUCAGUGAGGUUUAUCCAUCCUGCAGGGAGAAACCUUAAAUAUAACCUGGUGUUUAAUUUGUCUUGACUUUCCCUGUUGGCUUCUCCCAGGCUAAAGCCAGAGUGUAAACUAACACAUAAGGAGUAUGGAUGAAAUGGGUGCCAGGACUUGACUGUAAACUGCUGCCCAAAUUAGCACAAUGGUAUAGUUACUAUUAAAACAAAUUGCCCAAUGUUGUAAAGAGACCUCCAAAAGUUGAAUUUGUGAAGCUCUCAUCGUCUUAAGGCACAGGGAUCUAUUUCUUGCCUUUUCAAAAUACAGAGCCUGAAUAUGAAAACUUUCAUUGCCCUUUCCACUUGCCUAUUCUAGCGUUCAUGUAGUUUAGAUUUAAUAAAUUCUCAGAUAAAAGGUCUGGUAUAUAAGCACCAGUUACGAGUGACAGCUUCAGUGAUGGUGGCAUCUACCUUCUUUUGGGUUCUAUUGGUCUAAACUGUCCUUUCCUUAAUGUGUGGAACCUUGUUCUACUUUGGGGACAGCAGGUAUAUGUAAUCCAAAAUAUCCUAUCUCCAUCUGGAUGCUCCCCUCCUUUCUUCAUCUAGCACUUACUGCAUGAAUGCUACCAUAAAGGUACCACGAGACGGUGCUAAGAGCACAAAUGGAUCUCAUUAAUUGUUUUAGGAAUGAGAAAUGAAAGAGCAGUGACACUGUGGAGGCAUUAAGGGACAGAAGAAUCAUGGCAUGAGCAACAAAACCCUGUCAAUCCUCUUGGUGCAACCCUCCCUCUGCUUUUCAUUCAGCCUGGGCACUGCUCUCUGGACAUGAGCUGCCACCAUGGCAGCAGUGGCCCCUACCUGCUGCUGGCACCAUGUCCCCUGCCAUCAGCUUCUGUGACCAAUGCCCAGUCAAGCUGCUGGGCAGGCAGAAGUCCAGCCUGGAAUUGGCCACUGCUGCAUCUUUGGGUGUCACCAGCACUAAAAAUGGAAUGGCCCUUCCAUAGCUAUCCAGUGCCAGCAUCCUUCCAUCUUUAAUGCAGUUGGCCCAAGAAAACUUGACAUUGAGAGCAAUGUUAGCUAGGAUUGAUGUUGCUGUGAUGCUGUAAAAUCUUUAGUGAAAUGGGGUUUGUAGCUGCUAAUACCCCUUUUCUCCUCCUAGGCAAGACAACACCACCCCAUUGCACAACCUGUGCUAAGAGUUACCAGCCCAGCUGUGCAGGGCAUCGCCGUGCAAGGCUCUGCGCUGGGCUGGGCUGCUCACAGUGCCACGCCAACCUGCCUGUGAUCCACUCUAGCUGGGCUAGUGCAAAAAUCCCAGCUCUUUGCAGUAAGAUUUAAAUUCUGGUUUGUAGAGAAUAUGGAGAAUCGUUGUGUGUCACAGUCCACUAUAAAAACUUACUGCUUCCCCAAACAAUUAAGGUCUUUAGGAGACAAUCAGCAAACUGACUUAUUUCUCCUGUAAACAGGAAAAACACAUCCCUUACUGCUGCAGAGGUUCCUAAAUGAAGCACAGCUGGAUGGCUGCCAGUAAAGCCUUAGUAUAGUAGUUGGCUGGGGAACAAGGAUGCCCUGGCAACCACGUGUUUGUUAGUGAGGAUGCUGCAUAAUUUUUAACAAAUGGUUGUGAGCUAAGGCUGGGGGUGGAGGUGUGAUGAGGAGGGAGGUCUGCUUCCCAGAGAUUUACACAGGAGCUGCUGCAGAGAAGGUAAGCACUCUCCAUGGAAAGCAGUGCUGGAACAAUGGAAUCAUAGAUGUUUAAGGCUAAAGAGCCUUCAACAAUUUUGCAGGUGUACUUAACUCUUUCUUCUAUCGGCUUGAAGCUACAAAUGUGACACGGUGCCUCACCAUCACAGGACAGAUCUAAGGGAACAUUAUGCAGGCUCCUUUUGAAAAUAACAAAAAUUAAAGUUUACAGAGAGAAAGGGUGAAAAAGCUGGGUUAUGAACUGUGAUUAGUUUGGACUGCACCAACAUAUGCUCGAUCCCUGAUUUAGUUUUGUAGCUUCAAUCUCUUCCUCUGUGUAAGUAAAUGUGCAUCAGUGCAUUAGUAGUUAAGGAAUAAUUAUAAUUCUAACAUAGGUACUGAUGCUUUUUCUUGCUCUCCUAAAAAGCUAGGUCAGGUCACUUCUUGUGUACUGAGGAAGAAAGGUAAGUUCUUUUCAGAAAAUUGCUACACAUCAUUUGUUGAUCUCACCCUGGGGCAAAGGUCUCCAGGGUAAAGGUUUUCAUGCUUUCAUAAAUCUAAACUUCUGAGGAAGACAAUAAUGGACAGACAAGUGUCUUAAAUUAACAUUUAAGAUUACAACUGCAGAUUACCAUUGCAGUUGCAGCUAUUAACUGAGGCCUUGCAAACAUGUUCAUUAAUUCUGUCUACUGGUAACAGCCCCAAACCUACGGCAGCUCUUUGUGAGGGCAGGUGAGUUCUGGUGACCUUGCACACGUAUUCAGCUGGUGGUUCCUCUUCCAAAUCUUUGCACAACAGGAAUGGUCACUGCUAAGGAACAGAUGUGUUUAACCUCACAAAAAGCUCCAGUUCAUUGGGCUCGGGAACAAACUCAGGGGCACCUCUCAUGUAUUUCAUAGAGAUGGUGUAAAACUCAUUAUUUGAUAGUAUUAGUUAGUAUUUACAAAGUAUUUUAAAUUCCCAGAGAAAUCAUUAUAAAGUUGUUGUAGACAUUAUUAUUGCUAUUACUGUCAGGAACAAUAUUGUGUUUUAUAAUCUACACAAACACUAAUAUUGUUUUGUUUCUUAAGAGUACUUAUGUGCUUUAUAAAAUGUCGUGUAUUGUUCUCUGUGUCCUCUGAUCCACAGUAACUUCAUAAUGAUAAGAAAUAUUGACAUUUGGGGAUUAUUUUUUACUGUCUUUUUUAAAUACAGACUUCCAUGGAGGAUUUGCUAAUGGUAUAUGUGUGUGUUUGAAUUAAACCCUUUAAUGCUAGGGGAGGAGAUCAGUUUGACAUGGAAUUCAACAGCUGUUGUUUCUUUAAGGAGAAAAGGCCUGCUGGAUUUAAGUGUUUGAGUAUAUCUGGUUGACUGAACAGUUUCCUCAAGGAAGUAUUCAUUCAGUCAAUGUCCUGAAGGGUUAAGAAAACAGAAACCCAUAAUGUUACUGGGUUGUUGUUAGGUACGUUGCCAAGGGAACCCUAGCCGGAAUGUUUAAAUGUGUUGUUUCUCCCCAAACCCACAGGAGUGGAGCUUGAGUGUCUUGGUGUGCCCUAAUCCUCACAAUUAGUUUCUGUGUGGUAGGGGGGCUUAUGGGGCUGAUCAGACUAAAUACCUGUCGUGACAUUGGGUAACAUUCCCACCAUGCUCGGCAGAGUGGGUUUAGCAUCAUACUCAUCACUUAGGAGAAUCACAACCAAAAGCAGAAAAGGGAGUAUCUUAAAAGCCUCCUUUUUUGCUUCUCCCUGAACCUGUGGAUUUCUUUUAGUAAUGCAUAUUACGGAAAUUAAUGAUCCCCAAGGAGGUCUCCUUAAGACUUUGGUAAGAGAAAUCAUGACACUGAUCUUGACUCAGAUCCUUAAUAUCUGUAUUGUUUUGUCCCACAUGCCAUUUAAUUUGCUUCACUGGUGUAAAGCUGGAGGAACUUCUGUUGGAAAUGACCAUUUCAACAGAAGAGGCAAAUUUUAGCCUUGUUUCCAUGUAAAGGCUGGGCUCUUGCACUGCAACAGAUUUUUUCAGCAGAAAGCCUAAUCAAGCACUCCUUAUUUCCAGAUAAUUGCUAUAAGAAAAAUGCCUAAAUGUAUCUGUAGAGGUCAACUAUGCCAUAGAUAUUUCAAGAAGCUGGGAACAACCCUCCCAAAGCCUUCCAUUGGGCCAUCACUCUCAAAUGUUGGGCCUGUUCUACCACCAUGGUUUUUUCAUGGAUGGUUGGUGGCACUCAAUUGAGUCAAAACUAGCUAAGCAGCACUCCAUCCCUUGUUGAGUGUCAAACAUUUUUCCUAGCACAAACUGAUCCACACUUUGACCCAUUUAUGUAUUUCUUCUGGUAUGUGGCAGGAUUUGCAUUCAGUGGAAUGUUUUCACUUUUAUACUUGUACCCCCUCCUAUCACUCAACAUAAUGUUUUUAAUAUGAUCCAAGAUAAUUCUGUCUUAAUAUACUUUGAGCCAAGUUUAGUUCCAAUGGAUGUGGAAAACACAGAUUACCUCCUCCUUGCAGCAGCCUCUCAAGCGCAAAAGCUCAAUGCUUUCCCAAGGCAUGGUUUCUAAACACCUGAUAAUUCUUGUUGCCUCCUAAGCAGGACCCACAGCUUGAAAUGGAGACAUCCUGAGAUAGAGGAAGUUCUCCAGCUGGUCAGUGUUGGGGCAGAUUAUGCACUUUUUAUCUACAAAAGUCCUGUGUACACAUCCUGUUGUGAAGUUUCCUUUUUCUGUUCUUUUCUCAGUAUGAAACCAUUGAUCAACAGGCCAAGAGGCCUUUCUUUCUACAUCCAGAUAAAACAGUGAGCUUAAGCUUUGUCAUGUCCUGGGGUCCUCAUCCUCCAGUUGUCCACACUGGGAGUCAUCUGAACUGCAAAACACUGAGGAAGACUGGUUCACACCUGGCUCUUCUACAGACGAUGAUUUCAAAACUUCUUUCAAGUUCUUAGAUUUUUAAAAGUUGGGAAACCAGAGUAGAAUCCUGGGGAGUCAAUGCUUCCAUCAGUGCUCAUAGGCCAGAAGUCCUAUUUCCACCAGGAUCAGAAUGAGUGGACAGUGCUGAAGCUUAGGAAUGCUGACAGCACACAUUUCCCAGCUGUGAUGAAUCUCAUGAUUUAAAAUAAAAGAACAAAGGAAUAAAAGCCAAAGCUUGAUCAAUGAUUUCUGUGUCUCUUUUACUCCAUGACUUUUGAUAUGGUGAUGCAAAGAGGGACAACUCACAAGAAUUAAUUUUUUGGUUUUUUCUAUUACCUAUUUUUGUGAAUUCUGAAACUCAUGCACAAGUUAGUUUGACCAGGCAUUUCUGCACAGUUUUGAAAGUUUUAUGUUGGGCUGGACUGAGGUGCAUUGGCAGGAGCUGAAUGUGGUUUGCCUACAAUCUUGUUGGCUCAGGUUUGUACUUCAUUACCCAGAUUUAUUUAUGUUUUUAUUUAAAAUAGUCUCUUAGAAGUCUCUUUAGGUAUUCUCAGGUCUUGUAAACUGAAUGCAAAACAGAAGCUACUAUUUGAGCUGAGUCCACUAUGUAAAAGACAAAGAACCUAUUAAAAGCCCUAUAAAAAGCAGUGUAACCAAAGCCCUGCACUCCUCAGAAGAGUUAUUCCUGCAAUGGGUGCUAAACUCCAGAGCCCUAAUGAUGGGGCACUCCUUACCUCUUUUCCUUUGCCAUUUGCAACCACAAGGUGAGGAUGAGCAAAAAUCUGCCUUUUUCCUUUUAUUAGGUGCAGGAAACUUUUGUUUUGGCAGUGCUUCUUUUUGUCAUUCACAGAGUUUGUUUUUCUCUUGAUUUUUUUGGGAGCUUUUUAUUUCCUGUCAGAAUGUGGAGGAGAAAGCUGUUCUAGUCUGUAAGUUAUGCACCCCUUACAGUGCCCCUUAGUUACACAGCACAAGCAAAAGAGAAACAGAAUCCAUGGCACCAUGCAGAAAUGCUGCACUAUAUAGUUUGCCCUGGUUAAACAUUCCCAGAAAGGGAAUAACACAACGCUGUGGAGCUCCUGAAUGUCUUUUGGCCUUUGUGCUGCAGAGGUGCAGGCAUUUAGGGUUAAACUGAAACAGUGCUGGAUUCUGGGCAAAUUAGUUUUCAGACCUGAGCUACGUAGAUCAGAAUUAUUUCCUUUUCGUAUUACCACAACCCUAUCUCCUCCACACCUGAAAUAAGUGGCAUCUGGAACCUUGAAAAGCAAUAUGCAACAGCUGUGUGAGAAUUUAAUUUGAUACAGCCACAUGCCCCCAUCUUCAGCCACCUUUUUUGAUCUUUCUUCAAACAACUUAAAAUAUAUCUACAAAAUAAUGCUGAAGGUCUUGUAUGUACAGAUUUUUGUAAAAAAUACAUACAUACAAUACAGUAUGUAAUUCUGUCAUUUUUUGCCUUGUCUUCUCCACAUGCAGAGAGAUGUCAAAGUGGAAAAGAAAGAAUGGUUAUUUAUUCACAUUUUUCGAAGCCUGCAAGAGGAAAGAGUUGCAUUUUUAGAUUGAGUUUGGGAUGGUCUCACUUUCUCCUCAGCACUGAUCUUAUAAUUCACUUUAUCUUGUUCUGAAACAUUUUGGUGAGGGAACAUGAGCACUGACUCUAGUCAGCUCCUUUUAGCUGCUGGGGUUUUCUGAAUUCUCCCUCAGUACAUUCAUGACUAGUGGUGCCUAAUGACAAUGGAUCAAACCAUUACACUUAAAAAGCAGCUUACAUGAAAUUUGAACGUGCAUCUGUAGUUUGUGAAUCUUGCGUCAGCUGCUUUUUCUUUGCUGCUAAUAUUUGAACCUUGCACAUUCCUACGAAUCUAUGCAUAUGCUUUAAAGAUCCACCUUCAAGAUCAAACCCUUUAUCUGUUUAUACUUACGCUUAUCCUUAAAGCAUCAUGUAGACUUUAGAGCUGCAAGGACUGCUCAAAGCUAACUUUGUCUCUGAGAGGCUAAGUCCAUGCAAAACACUGGAUAAUAGUGCAGGUUCUGGUUGUGCUCAAAAUCAACUGCAAGUCUGAGACAACAGGAUUUUAAUAAUGUAAACAAGAAAAAAAGAGUCCUAUUCAUUAAAGUGCAUGUUGGAGUUGCUUGGUAGCUGAGAACAAGUUUCUACGGCAAAUGUACCACUAACUAACAGAAAAGCUCUUUCUGAUUUUUAAAUAUUAUUGUAAACUCUGAAUUAUGGUUUAUCUGCUAUUCUACCUAUUAAUAACUUUCUAUUAUGUUCAAUUAAUUAGUUAUUGGAAAAACACCAAGGCCAGCACUCGUACAACAAAUCAAACCUUUCAGCACCGUUAGAUGCUAGGGAUGCUGGCACACAUCUGCCUUUUCUGCCAACAGCACAACAACAACAACCCCAGCAGAACCAUUGCCUUUGGUUAGCCCCUGGAUUUUUACACUAGGAUUUGUUCAGUUGAUAUAAAAUGGUAAUUCAGGCAGUCCAAGUCAACACUACAGGGGGCCUCUAUAGGGGAAAACACAGCCCCUAAACAGGCUUCCAGAGUCCCCCCCUCAGGUUCAGAAUGCGGUUUUAACCAUCCCUAAGACGAACCCCCCACCAACUUUUACAGAGGCCACCCUCUGCUCACAAAACCUAGUCCCUUCCCUGAAGGCAUUCGGGAUCCUUUGAAAUGGAAAAUUUAUGCUGUACUGAAAUAGUUCAUACUAUAAUAAACAACUAGUGCCAUCAUUCUGCUGGUAUUCAGAGCGCAAUUAAACCUGAACCUCAUGUGAGGACUCCAUUUGGGGUAGAAGGUGGUGCUGUGGGGAGGACAGGCAGCUCACCCCAAGAAUCUUUCCUACUGCAGCAGGUUUUACUGCUUGUCCUCCCUGCCCCUGCAGUGAACAGCCCCCUUCUCCCUCCCCACAUUUUCACAAGGCACAGGGGCUUGUGGGGGAUUAUAUAACUUAUAGGUCAAUUUGUUGUUUGGGCAGAAGAAUGUGGUAUGUUGGCCGAAGCUGUUUGUUUGCUUAAGUUCUCAGAGUUCAAUGAGGUCAUUUUCUCAUCUUCCCUGUGUUUUCUGUAUUUUCCACAGACCUGCCAGCCUCAAACAACACCCUCUUUCUUCGCAUUAGAAAUGGAAACACGUCCUCUGCAGGAAUUUUCCACUUAAUAGCUCCUGCUUUCCUACCGGGGGCCUCAGUGCACCACCACUGCAAUGCUGUAUUUCUUUCCACUGCAGUUUGACAUUUUGCAGCCAGAACAACGAACGGCAUUCACUCCAUCCUGAUUUUUGAAAAACAUAUCUCUACAGGCCCACAGAACGCACCCAGUGCAGCAAUCACCAGGGGAAAAUGGCAAAGGUACUUAAACAUCAUUACAUGUCACUGAGGAUAUGACAUUGUCUGGUAAAAAUGCUCUUUUAUACAGUUGCUUUUCCUUACUUCCCAUUCCUCCACCCUCCAACCCUUUAUACACACACACAGACACCAAAGCCCCUGCCCUGCUCUUCUAAUACCAGCCACUCUCUUGUUCUACACUUGGUUGUAAUUGUUUGCCUUUAUGAAUUAUUUCCUUUGCAUAAUAUUUGCAAACUGCAUAUCAGGUCCUGACACUGUGAGGAGCAGAAAUGCACAUUGCAGAUAAUCUGAGCAGUAAACAAGAAGCCUGCUUUAAAAUGCAUCAAGUGACCUGUCUGAAGGCAGCAAUAUUUGCAGAUUGUUUACUGCUGAGAUGCAGUGAUGUCGCUGAAAUGCAGCAGCCUGAAGACCGGAGCAAAAUGGGAUCUCAGACACUCGGUCGAGCACAACCGAGUCAAGCAAUUUUUUUACUUGUUGUUUGCAUUCUGCUUUUUUUUAAGUUAGAAUUGUAUUAUAAAUUAUUA